CACCUGGGCUGUCACUAAAAGACAGCCCAGGCCCCACCCCACUCCCCCUCACUUUUCACGUGAAGGAUGUCAGUACGGUUCGGUUCAACGUCUAAUCGAACUGUACCGAUCCAUACUGCUCGAUUUUGGGCGGUAUGGAGCCGAAUCGUCCGAUUCGGUGCGGUUCGGAGGUGGUUUUCAAAAAAAAUGGCCGAAUCGGAUCGGCAGUCAGCUGAUCCGGUUCGGUACGCCCCGUAUCGGGCGGUUCGGCCCGGUACGAUGAACCUUGCUCUGAUGGAUUUUUUGACGAUGAUUUUAGGCAGACAAAGAUUAGGGCAUUCAUGGUUUCAAUGGGAAAAAAAUGAGAACGG
RNAcentral lists this long non-coding RNA (350 nucleotides) under Elaeis guineensis (African oil palm). Its description in RNAcentral is "long non-coding RNA (EGUI_LNC016850)". The record is from RNAcentral. Lineage: Eukaryota; Viridiplantae; Streptophyta; Magnoliopsida; Arecales; Arecaceae.